GUGCCUGCGGAAGGAUCAUUACAGAGUUCAUGCCCGAAAGGGUAGACCUCCCACCCUUGUGUAUUAUUACUUUGUUGCUUUGGCGAGCUGCCUUCGGGCCUUGUAUGCUCGCCAGAGAAUACCAAAACUCUUUUUAUUAAUGUCGUCUGAGUACUAUAUAAUAGUUAAAACUUUCAACAACGGAUCUCUUGGUUCUGGCAUCGAUGAAGAACGCAGCGAAAUGCGAUAAGUAAUGUGAAUUGCAGAAUUCAGUGAAUCAUCGAAUCUUUGAACGCACAUUGCGCCCCUUGGUAUUCCGGGGGGCAUGCCUGUUCGAGCGUCAUUUCAACCCUCAAGCUUAGCUUGGUAUUGAGUCUAUGUCAGUAAUGGCAGGCUCUAAAAUCAGUGGCGGCGCCGCUGGGUCCUGAACGUAGUAAUAUCUCUCGUUACAGGUUCUCGGUGUGCUUCUGCCAAAACCCAAAUUUUUCUAUGGUUGACCUCGGAUCAGGUAGGGAUACCCGCUGAACUUAAGC
Molecule: ribosomal RNA, 512 nt
Filed under: Botrytis pseudocinerea
Lineage: Eukaryota; Fungi; Ascomycota; Leotiomycetes; Helotiales; Sclerotiniaceae
Description: eukaryotic LSU rRNA
Rfam family: 5.8S ribosomal RNA (bases 169-322)
Source: RNAcentral